This 279-nucleotide long non-coding RNA is filed under the name Salvia miltiorrhiza (redroot sage). RNAcentral describes it as "long non-coding RNA (SMIL_LNC009200)". The record is from RNAcentral. Lineage: Eukaryota; Viridiplantae; Streptophyta; Magnoliopsida; Lamiales; Lamiaceae.
UUAGAUUUCUAGCUACGGAUGCAGUUUGGUCCAAUUAAUCAAGCAAAAAAGCUAAAAGGAAGCAAAGGCAUGGCGGAGGGCCUCCUCUUAUCGGUGAUACACAAGCUGGACAUGAAUUAUCAAAACGACACAAAAACAAAGGAAGACAUAAAAGAGCAAAUGGAGAUGGUAAUCAAAGAGAUGAGAGAGAUUGUGGAUAUUGUGAGGGAUAAGAAAUUGGAAGAGGGGAAAACCCUCAAUUUUAUGGUAUCUGACCUUGUCGACGUGGCUGAGGAUGCC